RNAcentral lists this ribosomal RNA (767 nucleotides) under uncultured Granulicatella sp. RNAcentral's name for it is "bacterial SSU rRNA". It matches the Rfam family "Bacterial small subunit ribosomal RNA", at positions 28 to 776 of the family's 1533-position model. The record is from RNAcentral. Lineage: Bacteria; Bacillati; Bacillota; Bacilli; Lactobacillales; Carnobacteriaceae.
GACGAACGCUGGCGGCGUGCCUAAUACAUGCAAGUCGAACGAGAGCGACCGGUGCUUGCACUGGUCAAUCUAGUGGCGAACGGGUGAGUAACACGUGGGUAACCUGCCCAUCAGAGGGGGAUAACAUCCGGAAACGGAUGCUAAAACCGCAUAGGUCUUCGAGCCGCAUGGCUUGAAGAGGAAAAGAGGCGCAAGCUUCUGCUGAUGGAUGGACCCGCGGUGCAUUAGCUAGUUGGUGAGGUAACGGCUCACCAAGGCCGUGAUGCAUAGCCGACCUGAGAGGGUGAUCGGCCACAUUGGGACUGAGACACGGCCCAAACUCCUACGGGAGGCAGCAGUAGGGAAUCUUCCGCAAUGGACGCAAGUCUGACGGAGCAACGCCGCGUGAGUGAAGAAGGUUUUCGGAUUGUAAAACUCUGUUGUUAGAGAAGAACAAGUGCUAGAGUAACUGUUAGCGCCUUGACGGUAUCUAACCAGAAAGCCACGGCUAACUACGUGCCAGCAGCCGCGGUAAUACGUAGGUGGCAAGCGUUGUCCGGAUUUAUUGGGCGUAAAGCGAGCGCAGGCGGUUCCUUAAGUCUGAUGUGAAAGCCCCCGGCUCAACCGGGGAGGGUCAUUGGAAACUGGGGAACUUGAGUGCAGAAAAGGAGAGUGGAAUUCCAUGUGUAGCGGUGAAAUGCGUAGAUAUAUGGAGGAACACCAGUGGCGAAGGCGACUCUCUGGUCUGUAACUGACGCUGAGGCUCGAAAGCGUGGGUAGCAAACAGG